Molecule: RNA transcript, 8996 nt
Organism: Dunckerocampus dactyliophorus (ringed pipefish)
Lineage: Eukaryota; Metazoa; Chordata; Actinopteri; Syngnathiformes; Syngnathidae
Gene: klhdc8a
Gene name: kelch domain containing 8A
Exons: 7
Source: RefSeq, a predicted model, not a curated record
UCGAAAUAAAUUACAUAAUAAAUCCACUACAUACAAGCACUCCUGUUUAAAAAAAACAUUCCCUGCACAAAGCGGUCGCCAUUCUGUCCAUAAAAGGAAUGAAUUUCAACUCGCGCCAUGAAAGCUGAAGAUAAAUACUUCAUCUCUGACCCACAUAAUGGCGAUAUUUCAGGCGGAGCUCUGGACUUGUCACAAACCGCUCCUCGGCCGAGCUGUCUCCGGUACAGCUCGAGCUAUUAGAGCCCCGUCGCCUUCCAUCUUCCUGCGCCAGAAGCAGCCUCCUCCCGCGUCUCCAUCGAUCUCCAUCGAGGAAGGCGAGUAUCGGGGAAAGCUUGCGACACGCGCCGCGCGAGGGAGGAGGGCAACGGCCAGCGGACAAAUUUAAAGGAGUGCCUUGAGGUGGGAUUUUGCCCUUUCCUUUACCUAAUUCGACACUCCCACCACUUACCAUCACUUCCACCGGGACCUUCUCCUCAGUUCCUCAGUCUCCCAGCUCUCAUUCAUCAUCAGCUUCACUUUAUCAACCCCCACCAACCCAAUUCCCCUUAAUCUGCACCUUCCACUUGUCCUUGCUGUCUUUAAGCUACGGAGGCCAUGGCGGUGCCUUCAGCUCAUGAGUUUCACUGGCAGAGCCUGGCACGACUGUCCAGCGGCCGUGUCUACCACACGCUAUCUGAGGUUGGAGGGCAGAUGUACAUGCUGGGGGGCUGCGAUGCUGCAGGGAGGCCGUGCCCCACUGUGGAACUGUACUCCCCGGAGGGGGACCGAUGGAUAAGCCUGCCCUCUAUGCCCACUCCACGUGCUGGUGCCGCUGUGGCAGCAUUUGGAAAGCAGAUCCUGGUGGUUGGAGGAGUGGGGGAGGACCAGAGUCCAUUGAAGGUGGUGGAAAUAUAUAACACAGAAGAAGGAAGGUGGAGGAAGAGGAGUCCCCUUCGAGAGGCCCUGAUGGGUGUAUCCAUCACUGUGAAAGAUGGUCGUGCUCUGGCUGUGGGAGGAAUGGGCGCUGACCUGCUCCCGCGUAACAUCCUUCAGCAGUAUGACUUUCGAAAGGAUGUGUGGGCUCUACUUCCUCCCAUGCCGACACCACGCUAUGAUGCCAACACAAAUUUACUAGACAACAAACUCUAUGUAGCAGGCGGCCGCCAGUGUAAGCGGUCGGUGAAGGCCUUUGAGAUGUACGACACAGACACACGCUCAUGGACGACGCUUCCAAUGCUGUCGUCUAAGUGCUCGUACGCGGGUGUGAUAUGGGACGCUGCUGGGAGGCUGUGUUUGCUGGGAGGCCUGCGGCAAGGAGGAGGACAUCAAAGCUCAAAGUUUACCAAGAAUGUCAGCAUUUUUGACACUCACCGAGAGGCCGCUACAGUGAAAACUCAUCGCUGUGGUAAAACGUCAACGCUGCACCAGUCCUGCCAUCACUUCAAGGAGUUGAUGCCAUCACGUCCAACAUCCAGCUACCCACCUGUUACCAGCCAGCUGACUCUGCUCACGUUGAUCUCCUGCGACCAGGCAAGAUUAAAAAGGGACAGUACACAUAACAAUUAAGAAAUAGGCGAAUGUUUCAAGGUACUGGCAUGUGUCUGUCUAGGAAAUGGUUUAAAAGGUGAAGCACUUCAACUGUAAAGUGUUCAUUUGUGAUAUUUUGGGGCACUGUUUAAAAGUCAUUUGGGUGGCCAUAAUUAGUAAUUGCUUGACAUAUGUAUCACUCUGUAGUAAAGGACAACUACAGCUUAUCAGUAUAGACUCAGGCAUAAGACACUUGAAGGCCGUAACGGACAUAAAACAGCUCAAAAACAAACAAAAUGUCAUUACCAUCUGAAAAGGCAGAUGCUUCAACAGACAUACAAACCAGGUCCAGUUCGCGUGAGAGAAGGCUAACAGAGAAAGGUCAAACAAUGCAUAGUCAAAACAUCAAAAAGCAUGAGAUGAUGUUUAAUAAGGAUUAUCAUUUUUGGAAAUUAGCAGCAAGGCUGACUAGGACAACAUUAAAAUCAGUCUGUUCAACACAAGAACUUAAUAAAUUGCAACAAGACAUUCAAGCAAAGCAUGAUACUUUAAGACUCCAGUAUGAAUCCAUUCUGCGUAAAGGUAACACCACGCCUGAAAUUGUCAACAAGAUGGAUGCUUGUAUCACACUAACAAAGGAAAUAAGUGACCUCAUCAGUAACCGGCUGAGGACUGUUGAUGAAGAUUACAAUGACCAGCUCGAGAAAGAAAGGGUGAGAGAAGUAUUAAACAAAAAUGAACACGGUUCCAUAUUUGGUCACACCAUAACUGAAACUUCGAGCUCGUCAAAGUCAUCAGAGAGAUCGAGCAGUCACUCCAGCUCAGAGAGCACCAACAACAGCAAAGCAGAUGCACAAGCGGAGCUCGCCGCUAAACUGGAACAAUCUAAGGCUGUGAAAGAAAUUCAAGCACAAAGGGCACAUCUUCAAAAGUUAGAAAAUGAAUGGAAACUUAAAGAGGCAAAAAUGUUGUCAGAGAUCAGACAAAAGGAGGUGCAAAUGAAACAACAGCUUGAGGAAGAGAGAGCAAAACUACAGCAGUUACAAGCAGAAAAGGAAGUCGCUGUAGCAGAAGCUCGUGUGAGAGCUUAUGACGACUUUGAAGGUUUUGAGAACCAGGAGGAAGAAUUGAGCAACAAUGUUAACUAUGCUUGCUUUAGAACGAAAUCUGAAGCCCAACUGAAUCCAAAUGCUGCAUCAUUCCAUCCUUACCAAGGAGCUCCUGAAGUAACAAUGACACAGGAGUCUGUUAGUUUGGCCCAAGCGAUUGCCAGCUCAUUAAGUAUGAGCCGAUUGCCAGUCCCAGAACCUACAACAUUCAGUGGUGACCCUUUAAGGUUUACAGACUGGAAAUUGACUUUCAUGACUCUUAUUGACCGAAAGUCCCUCCCAUCAAGUGAGAAGAUGUUUUAUCUCAAAAAUUAUCUUGCUGGAGAAGCGCAAAAGGCAGUACAAGGUUUCUUCUAUCGAGAUUCAGAGAGUGCAUACAAGGGAGCAUGGAAAGUCUUAGAGGACAGAUAUGGUAACCCGUUCAUCAUACAAAAAGCCUUCCGAGAUAAGCUUAUGAGAUGGCCAAAGAUCAACACAAAUGACCCAUUAGCACUGCGAGAGUUUGCCGACUUUCUCCAAAGCUGCACUGAAGCAAUCCCACAUGUCAAAGGGCUAGCUAUUCUUAACGACUGUGAAGAAAAUCACAAGAUGCUGAAAAAGCUACCAGAAUGGAUUGUACGCAAGUGGAGUCGAAUUGUUGUUGAUGAACUUGACAUGUCCGGAAGUUAUCCUGAUUUUGUGUGUUUCACAGAGUUCCUGAACAAAGAAGCCCGAAUAGCCUGCAACCCAAUUGCCUCUCCAAUGUUGAUGAAUUUCAAACCCACGGAUGAAAAGCUACCAAAGAGAGCCAAAGCUCUCAACACAAACACUCAAGCAAAAAGAGUCCUUCACGAGAAGCAGGAAGCAAACAGUACUAAGCCAAAAUUACCUUGUCCUGUCUGUAAAAACGAAACUCAUGGCAUUGCGCAGUGUCCCACUUUCACAGUAAAGAGUGCUGAAGAAAAAAAGGCGUUUAUCCAAGAAAAUCACCUCUGCUUUGGGUGCUUGAGAAAGGGUCAUGUGACAAAGGUUUGUAAGAGACGACACACGUGCAACAUAUGCAGCCGUCGUCAUCCAACUUGCUUGCAUGAAGACAGGAAGCAGAACCCUGUGGAUGAACUAACGAACAGCUCUACAUCCACAGAAGGAGAUGUAAGCCACGAAAUGCAUAAAGUUGUGUCCCAUACAUCAACACAACGUGCUCCUGCCACAUCAAGUAUAGUCCCAGUUUUUGUAUCUUCAGUACAAGAGCCACACAGAGAAGUAUUGACAUACGCAAUAUUAGACACACAGAGUGACUCAACGUUUGUCUUAGAAGAUGUACUCGACAAACUGAACGUGGAAGUUCGACCAGUAAAGCUGAAACUUAGCACGAUGACGGCUAUGGACACAGUAAUUUCUAGCAAAAGCGUUUGUGGUUUACAAGUUCGAGGUCUCAACUCAGAGGACCACAUUCAGCUACAGCAAGCCUACAGUCGUAACUUUAUCCCAGUAGACAAGUCUUACAUCCCCACAAAGGAAACAGCGAUAUCAUGGCCUCAUCUUAGACAUUUGGCAGAUAAAUUACCACUUCUCCAAGACUGUGAUGUAGGACUCCUGAUUGGAUAUGACUGUCCAUCAGCACUGGUCCCAUUUGAAGUUAUCAUAGGUGGCAAAAAUGAACCGUUUGCGCAGAGAGGGACACUCGGGUGGAGUAUAAUAGGCUCAUCAAACCCCCACCUAGACAGGCAAGGAAGCCACAGCUUUGUGCACCGGCUCACAGUGAAACAACUGCAGAUUCCAUCACCAGCAGACGUUUUAAAGUCCCUGGAAUCAGACUUUAUUGAGAGAACUUAUGAAGAAAAGUAUGUUUCGCAGAACGACGUUCAAUUCAUACAGCUUCUUAGCGACCACAUUACACAAAAGGAAGACGGACACUAUGAGAUGCCCCUCCCAUUCAAGGGCAACAGUCCACCCAACCUGCCAAACAAUAAGAGACUAGCCACAAUUCGCCUGCAGUGUCUUAAAAGGAAAUUAAAGGCUAACAAACAAUACUAUGAGCAAUACAAAACAUUCAUGGAAGAAACGAUAAAAAAGGGUGACGCAGAGCCUGCCCCUACAACAUCCGAGGGAGAGACAGUGUGGUACCUUCCACAUCAUGGCGUUUAUCACCCAAGAAAACCAGAGAAGCUCAGAGUUGUCUUUGACUGUGCAGCCAAAUUCCAUGGUCUUUCGCUGAAUGACACUCUGCUAACUGGACCCGAUUUGAUCAAUCCUCUGGUGGGAGUACUUUGCCGUUUUCGGAAAGAGGCCGUCGCCAUUAUCUGUGACAUCGAAAGAAUGUUUUAUCACUUUUCCGUCACUCCUGAAUUUCGGAAUUAUCUCAAAUUCCUAUGGUGGCAAGAUGGUGAUGUGGAUAAGGAAGUACAGGAGUACAGAAUGACCGUUCAUCUUUUCGGAGCUGCUUCGUCUCCGGGAUGCGCCAAUUUUGGCUUAAAACAUUUGGCACAUCAAUACAAAGCCGAUUAUCCAAUAGCAUCAACAUUUGUGGAGAAACAUUUUUAUGUGGACGACGGGCUCGUCAGUGUCCAAUCAGUAGCCGAUGCCAAGAAGCUAAUCACUGAGGCCCAAGAGUUGUGUAAAAGAGGAGGCCUUCACCUUCAUAAAUUCAACUCAAAUAAGGAAGCAGCCCUCACCCACUUGAACCCCUCAGAAAAGGCAGCAAACAUCGAGCAUCUAAGCUUUGACUCUGUUCCAUCAGAGCGGGCACUCGGAAUCCAAUGGUCGGUGAAAGAUGACACAUUUGGCUUUGACAUCAGUUUAAAGGAUCAGCCACCAACCCGUCGCAGUUGCUUGUCUGUCAUUGCCUCUCUUUAUGACCCGUUGGGAUUCAUUGCUCCAUUCAGCCUGAGUGGAAAACUUAUCCUUCAAGAGCUGUGCCAUAGAGGUACUGGAUGGGAUGAUCCACUCCCAGAUGAUAUGAAGCCACGGUGGGAGGAGUGGAUGAAGGGUCUUCAUAAGCUCAAAGAGGUCUCAAUCCCAAGAUGUUACCAUCCCCAUGACUUCCACAAUAUUGUCAGAGUAGAAUUACACCAUUUUUCGGAUGCCAGCUGUGUAGGGUAUGGUGUAUGUUCUUACCUCAGAUACCAAAAUGACAUGAAUGAGGUCCAUUGCAAUCUCGUCUUGGCGAAAGCUAGGGUCGCACCCUCGAAGGUCACGAGUAUCCCAAGACUUGAACUCAUGGCAGCAGUGGUGUCUACAAAGGUUAGCAUCAUGCUAAAAAGUGAACUUGACAUGAAGGUUGAUCAAGAAGUCUUCUGGACAGACUCUCGAGUUGUGCUAGGGUACAUAAACAACGAUGCCCGUAGGUUCCACAUAUUUGUAGCGAACCGUGUUCAGCUUAUUAGAGAUAACAGCAGUCCCAGUCAGUGGCAUUAUGUGGACACCUCAGAAAAUCCAGCUGAUCACGCGUCCCGAGGUCUCCGAGCUUCAGACCUUCACACAACCAACUGGCUGAAAGGACCAAAAUUCCUCUGGGAAAGUGAGUUACAUUUGACACCCACCGCUUCAACAGAAUUACUCGUCGGUGACCCUGAAGUCAAGGCAAUUCAGGUGCUUGCAACCAAAGUCAACCAGAGUAAUGACAUCCUCAGUCGUCUGAGUCGCUUUUCCUCUUGGAUAAGGCUUCUCAAGGUGGUCGCAAGAAUCAAGAGGCUGAAGUCUAGUCACAAACACAGUGACCAUGUGACUGUUGAGGAGCAUGAGAAGGCUGCGGAGGCAGUGAUAAAAAUUGUUCAGCAGCAGGCCUUCCCCCAUGAGUUUAAGGCGCUACAAAGCAAAAAUGUCCUUCCAAGUUCAAGCGCGCUUUUCAAUCUUGACCCUAUCUUGUCUGAAGGACUUAUAUGUGUUGGCGGGAGACUAAAAAACUCUUCUCUUGGUCACAAAGUCAAACACCCCACCAUUCUACCCAACAACAGUCACAUCACUAAGCUGAUUGUGUGUCAUUAUCAUGCCAAGACAAUGCAUCAAGGUCGAGGCCAGACUCAAAUGGAACUUAGGAGUAAUGGAUUCUGGGUUAUUGGUGGGAGUAAGCUGGUUGCGAAGUGCAUACAUACCUGUGUGCUUUGUCGCAAACUUCGUAGGCCGACAGAGAACCAGAAAAUGGCCGAACUUCCUAAAGAACGUGUUGAAGCUUCAGCACCCUUCACCUACAGUGGUAUGGACUGUUUCGGUCCAUUCAUUGUGAAGAAAGCCCGCAAAGAGAACAAAAAAUAUGGCUUGAUUUUCACAUGUUUGUACUCUAGAGCUGUGCACAUUGAAAUGCUCGAUGAUUUGUCGACGGACUCAUUCAUCAACGCAUUGAGAUGCUUUAUUAGCAUUAGAGGUGCUGUUCGACAACUGUACUGUGACCAAGGCUCUAAUUUUGUGGGUGCUAAAAACGAGUUUAAGGAAGCACUCAAACAAUGUGACAGCAAGUUACUUGAAAUAUUCCUCACUGAAAAGCAAUGUGAAUUUGUCUUCAAUGCCCCCUCCGCCAGUCACGCAGGUGGUGUCUGGGAAAGACAAAUAAGAACAGUCAGAAAGGUGUUGAACGCAACCUUUGCUCAAUGCCCAGGUCGGCUGGACGACGCCUCCCUUCGAACAAUGCUGUAUGAGGCCAUGGCUAUUGUUAAUAGCCGCCCAUUAACAGUGGACGGAAUCAAUGACCCUCAGGCACUAGAACCCAUAACACCAAACCACCUCAUAAUGAUGAAGUCCAAAGUUGCUCUUCCUCCUCCCGGUGUGUUUGUGAAGGAAGAUCUAUAUGCAACCAAGAGGUGGAGGAGAGUACAGUACCUAAUUGAACAAUUCUGGAGUCGCUGGAGAAAAGAGUACCUUCUGAAUAUAUCUACAAGACAAAAGUGGCACCUACCUCAGCGCAACCUCAAAGUGAACGACAUUGUCAUCAUCAAAGAUGACAACCUCCCAAGAUGUCAUUGGCAACUAGGUCUAGUGGUUGAAGUCGUUCAGGGUAGCGAUGGCUUAGUUCGCCGAGCCAAAGUGCGUGUAGGUGAGCGAAACCACCAGAGAAAACAAGGUCCUCCUUUCAAGCAUUCAGUUAUUGAGAGACCAGUCCAAAAAUUAGUGCUUCUUCUUGAGAAUUGAUUAGAAUAAGCUAACAAUGGCAAUGUGCACGCAGAUUAUCGUGUAUGAAGAUGUACGGUCAUACCUCUGAUUGUAUCUUGCAGCCAUUCAUUUAUUGGAGACAAGAAAUCCUAUGCAAUUCAUUUACGCCUUGUAUUUUUGUUCAUUCAUUGUCAUAGGAUUUGGUGGGAGUGUAAAUGACAUGUUUACGUUCUUUAUGCUCAGUUAUUCACUCAUUUAUUUUGAAGAAUGUAGUCCUGCCACCGGAUGUUGGCAUGCUCUUAUUUUGGCGGAACGUUUUUUCUUUUCCUGUGUCAAAAGGUUAACUUCGCUAAUGGUGAUUGCAACCCCACGCAAAAAGUGCUCACAUAUUUUCUCAGUUUCAACCUGGCUGGUGGUAGGCUAAUGUGGAAGACUACCUCGUGUUUAAGCUAGCGCCCUUGGAAGGCAAAAUGAGGUGCAAGAACUGAGCCGGAAGAAUAAAGGCACCCGUUUGAAACUCCACGUCUGACUAAUUCAUUCCAAGAGGCCGCUACAGAGUGAAUAACAAAGAGGUGGUCGAUCAGUAAUCACUUUAUUGAAACAAACAACCGCUCCAAAACAAGCAUAUCCUCACACUAUCAGAAAGUAGAAAUUUUGAGCAGGAAACCACAAGGGUGCAUUAUAUUGGUAUGCUCCACUGCGUGCGGGGAACCGGGAUAGAAGGCGUGUAUUUAUUCGUCUGCACUAAAAGUGAGACAUUUUCUCAAAAUCUGACCAUACUAACUGCUAUUUUUUCAGCCUGGAUUAUUGGGUCAUGUCCUGUCAUGUGCGCAACCUCAAAGGAGCAAGCAACUGUGUGUUGCUGGAGAUGAAAUUCUCCACAACCUUUCUCCAAGGUGAAAAGGACCACUUUAGAAAAUGAAUGAAGUCAAUUUCACCUCCCAUACGAUGGGAAGGAAAGAAGACUCACACGCUGAUAUUAGAUUUACGAAAUGUAUUGAAAAAUAGGUCAGACAGAAUAACGCUUCGGACUGUGUCUCUUCCCAUGGACUCCUGCAGCCUCUUCGCCGAAGGAAGAGAGACAGGUCCCGAUCGAUAGUCGCCUCUGCCUUUUUGUAAUUGUUUUCCUCAGACCAUUGGUGCCAGUCUUAUUUUCCUGCUUCAGGAGCGUGGCUGAAGUCAGAUGAGACGGUCGCCUUGAAGACAAAGAGAGCCGACUUUGCUGCUGCGGUGCUGCGGGACCGCAUGGUGGUAGCAGGAGGACUUGGUCAUCAGCCGUCUGCGCUGGACACAGUGGAGGCUUUUCAUCCCCAGAGG